CCUACGGGUGGCAGCAGUGGGGAAUAUUGGGCAAUGGAGGCAACUCUUACCCAGCAAUGCCGCGUGAACGAAGAAGGUCUUCGGAUUGUAAAGUUCUUUAAUCGGGGACGAAAAAAAUGAUGGUACCCAAGGAAUAAGCCCCGGCUAACUACGUGCCAGCAGCCGCGGUAAUACGGAGGGGGCAAGCGUUGUUCGGGAUGACUGGGCGUAAAGGGUGUGUAGGCGGUGUAGCAAGUUAGAAGUGAAAUACCUAGGGCUUAACUCAGGUGCUGCUUCUAAAACUGCGAUACUUGAGUGCAGUAGAGGAAAGUGGAAUUCCUAGUGUAGCGGUGGAAUGCGUAGAUAUUAGGAGGAACAUCAGUGGCGAAGGCGACUUUCUGGACUGUAACUGACGCUGAGGCACGAAAGUGUGGGGAGCAAACAGGAUUAGAUACCCCUGUAGUC
This 444-nucleotide ribosomal RNA is filed under the name uncultured bacterium. RNAcentral's name for it is "partial 16S ribosomal RNA". It matches the Rfam family "Bacterial small subunit ribosomal RNA", at positions 338 to 795 of the family's 1533-position model. The record is from RNAcentral.